Molecule: ribosomal RNA, 492 nt
Filed under: uncultured bacterium
Lineage: Bacteria
Description: partial 16S ribosomal RNA
Rfam family: Bacterial small subunit ribosomal RNA
Source: RNAcentral
AGUGAACGCUGGCGGUAGGCCUAACACAUGCAAGUCGAACGGCAGCACAGUAAGAGCUUGCUCUUACGGGUGGCGAGUGGCGGACGGGUGAGGAAUACAUCGGAAUCUACUUUUUCGUGGGGGAUAACGUAGGGAAACUUACGCUAAUACCGCAUACGACCUACGGGUGAAAGCAGGGGAUCUUCGGACCUUGCGCGAUUGAAUGAGCCGAUGUCGGAUUAGCUAGUUGGCGGGGUAAAGGCCCACCAAGGCGACGAUCCGUAGCUGGUCUGGGAGGAUGAUCAGCCACACUGGAACUGAGACACGGUCCAGACUCCUACGGGAGGCAGCAGUGGGGAAUAUUGGACAAUGGGCGCAAGCCUGAUCCAGCCAUACCGCGUGGGUGAAGAAGGCCUUCGGGUUGUAAAGCACUUUUGUUGGGAAAGAAAAGCAGCAGGUUAAUACCCCGCUGUUCUGACGGUACCCAAAGAAUAAGCACCGGCUAACUUCGUG